AGCGUAUAUUAAAGUUGUUGCAGUUAAAAAGCUCGUAGUUGAAUUUCGGGGUCAGUAGGUUGGUCGUGCCACCGGUACGUACUGGUCUCACUGAUUCCUCCUUCCUGAUGAGCUGUAAUGCCAUUAAUUUGGUGUUGCAGGGAAUCUGGACUGUUACUUUGAAAAAAUUAGAGUGUUUAAAGCAGGCUAACGCUUGAAUACAUUAGCAUGGAAUAAUGAAAUAGGACGUUCGAUCCUAUUUUGUUGGUUUCUAGGAUUGACGUAAUGAUUAAUAGGGAUAGUUGGGGGCAUUAGUAUUCAAUCGUCAGAGGUGAAAUUCUUGGAUUUAUUGAAGACUAACUACUGCGAAAGCAUUUGCCAAGGAUGUUUUCAUUAAUCAAGAACGAAAGUUAGGGGAUCGAAGACGAUCAGAUACCGUCGUAGUCUUAACCAUAAACUAUGCCGACUAGGGAUCGGAUGAUGUUAAUUUUUUAAUGACUC
Molecule: ribosomal RNA, 480 nt
Filed under: uncultured Glomeromycotina
Lineage: Eukaryota; Fungi; Glomeromycota
Description: SSU rRNA
Rfam family: Eukaryotic small subunit ribosomal RNA
Source: RNAcentral